This 800-nucleotide ribosomal RNA is filed under the name uncultured bacterium. RNAcentral's name for it is "bacterial SSU rRNA". It matches the Rfam family "Bacterial small subunit ribosomal RNA", at positions 8 to 853 of the family's 1533-position model. The record is from RNAcentral.
AGAGUUUGAUCCUGGCUCAGAAUGAACGCUGGCGGCAUGCCUAACACAUGCAAGUCGAACGAAGGCUUCGGCCUUAGUGGCGCACGGGUGCGUAACGCGUGGGAAUCUGCCCUCAGGUUCGGAAUAACAGCGAGAAAUUGCUGCUAAUACCGGAUGAUAUCGCGAGAUCAAAGAUUUAUCGCCUGAGGAUGAGCCCGCGUAGGAUUAGCUAGUUGGUGUGGUAAAGGCGCACCAAGGCGACGAUCCUUAGCUGGUCUGAGAGGAUGAUCAGCCACACUGGGACUGAGACACGGCCCAGACUCCUACGGGAGGCAGCAGUGGGGAAUAUUGGACAAUGGGCGAAAGCCUGAUCCAGCAAUGCCGCGUGAGUGAUGAAGGCCUUAGGGUUGUAAAGCUCUUUUACCCGGGAUGAUAAUGACAGUACCGGGAGAAUAAGCUCCGGCUAACUCCGUGCCAGCAGCCGCGGUAAUACGGAGGGAGCUAGCGUUAUUCGGAAUUACUGGGCGUAAAGCGCACGUAGGCGGCUUUGUAAGUUAGAGGUGAAAGCCUGGAGCUCAACUCCAGAAUUGCCUUUAAGACUGCAUCGCUUGAAUCCAGGAGAGGUGAGUGGAAUUCCGAGUGUAGAGGUGAAAUUCGUAGAUAUUCGGAAGAACACCAGUGGCGAAGGCGGCUCACUGGACUGGUAUUGACGCUGAGGUGCGAAAGCGUGGGGGAGCAAACAGGAUUAGAUACCCUGGUAGUCCACGCCGUAAACGAUGAUAACUAGCUGUCGGGGCUCUUAGAGCUUCGGUGGCGCAGCU